GGCCGCCUGGCGAAAUGGCAUCGCGUCUGACUACGAUCGUGGCAUUCUUUCUCAGUAUUAAUCAGGAGAUUGCAGGUUCGACCCCUGCGGUGGUCA
Molecule: non-coding RNA, 96 nt
Organism: Mycena olivaceomarginata
Lineage: Eukaryota; Fungi; Basidiomycota; Agaricomycetes; Agaricales; Mycenaceae
Source: the annotation of a GenBank genome assembly